AGGCAGAGUGAGAGAGGAUUAGUUUUGAAUAGAAUGAUUAUGAAAGGCAGCACUAAGAAGGUAACGUCUGAGCAAUGACCUGAAGGAACAAACCAUGUAAAUACCCAGGGCAAAAAUCAUUCCAGGCAGCAGGAACUACAGGCGCAAAUGUCCUGGGGCAGAAACACAUCUGGAGACCUUAUUUUGUUCCCAUAUCAUCAUGAUGCCUAAGAACAUGUAUCUACCGAGAACCACCUAGAGGAUAAAACAGCACAGCCCACAGGCACUCCUCAGACAGUUGGAAAGUGAAGUAAAUGAACUCUGCAGUGGUGUCUUCCAACUCUCACUUCCAACUCUCCUGUGUUUGUAGUCUCCAUGUUCCCAAACAAGGGAAAAUACAGCCACAAUCUCCAAAGGACAAAAGAAGAAAAACCAAGGCCCACUAUUUUUUGCCACAUGCUCAUGGGACAGAGGGGGUGUUUCUUUGGGAUGAAGUCUGAACAAUGAAGCAGGGCCAGCCUCAUCACUUGAGGAAGUCACCAGGCUCUUUGUUUUCCCGUCCCUGCAAUUUAGCAGAUAGGUCCUCUCCUUCUCUGGAAGAAAUGGUGCCAGGUAUGAGGCAGACCACUGCUGAAGCUCCGGAGAAGAUUCAAUAGCUUCUAGUAUCUGGCAUUUUGGUCACUGGCAUUUGGCAAAAUGGCUCUUGAUUUAGCCACAGAAGUGUAAUUUGCUGAUACUCAACCAGAUGAUUCCAAACCUGAGAGAGGAAAUAUGAAACAAUAAAAUGGCAAGAAAGAGAAAUUGACAUCGAGGUACCCCUUCAAAAUGUUAUAAAUGCUAUAUUCUGUAAAGUAUAGAAAAAAAUGCACUCUUCCCUGGACACCAAGGAAAUCCAAAUGCAUAUGUUCCAUUAAAAUGGACAAAAAAUGAAAAGCUGCGUAAAAGGAUUUCAUUAAUCGCAAAUAUGUGGAUAUAAAAUUGAGUCUUUGAUAAAACAAACAGCUUGUGAUUUAUUGGAACUUGAAAUAUCCUUUAUUUCUUCUGUACUUUAUGAUAAAAAUUUUAGAAAAGGCCUGUUAUUAUCUAGUUUCUGGUGAGUGUGGGGACAUUUUCUGCUUUUUGUCAAUAAAGUUCUAAAACUACACUUCUGUGAUCACCUAGAAAAGUAUUUUGGAAGAAAUAGAUGUGUCUACUGAGUGGCAUUUUUAGAAAACCCUUCUGAUGAUUUGGGAGGCUGAGGUGGGAGGGUGGUUUGAGUUUAGGAGUU
This is a long non-coding RNA of Callithrix jacchus (white-tufted-ear marmoset), 1246 nucleotides long. RefSeq lists it as uncharacterized. The record is from RefSeq and is a predicted model, not a curated record. Lineage: Eukaryota; Metazoa; Chordata; Mammalia; Primates; Cebidae.